CCCGCGCGGCGCCGGGCCGACGAGACUCAGCCAAUCGGCGUGCGGGGGCGUGGUCGCCACGCGUGAAUGGGACGGGGCGGGUCCAGGAUCCGACUCCGGCGGACGUCCUGGGCCCUCGCAGCGGAUUUCAGGUCCCUGUUCCGGCUUCACAAUGCAGGCGGGUGGGUUUAACUGAGGCCCCCCGAACUCCUCGGUAUUUGACUUCGGCUCCCUGUGGAGGAAGCCCCGGGCGUUUUACUGAACAGGCGGAGGGAAGGACUCUUUCAGUUCAUUCAAGCCGCUGGACGGUCCAGCCCAGCAUCUUGACUAUGGUGAUACGUCGCCAUUGGUCCAACCCUCGCUUUUAGCCUAGUCUUCGCUCAUUGGUCUAGACUUCGCCCCCUGCUUACGGACGUGGACCUUCAGAAAGGCACCCUCCGGGCCUGGGCCUUGAAGAUCCCUCAGUUCACCCUCCUUUUGGCUUCUAUCAGAGUCUUCCUGUGCUUUCUCGGGGUAGCGUCAUUUCCUGGGCAUUCUGCAGUGCACUCAAAGGCUUUUAGUCGUCAUUAUCUGUCAAUCAAUCACAGACUACUGUUUGUAUCUAAUUUAUUAGAUUAUAAGUACCCUUGCACUUAAAUCUCU
RNAcentral lists this long non-coding RNA (621 nucleotides) under Marmota monax (woodchuck). Lineage: Eukaryota; Metazoa; Chordata; Mammalia; Rodentia; Sciuridae. The record is from RNAcentral.